RNAcentral lists this ribosomal RNA (318 nucleotides) under Eusyllis sp. GF-15535_11242. Its description in RNAcentral is "partial large subunit ribosomal RNA". It matches the Rfam family "Bacterial large subunit ribosomal RNA", at positions 1948 to 2506 of the family's 2925-position model. The record is from RNAcentral. Lineage: Eukaryota; Metazoa; Annelida; Polychaeta; Phyllodocida; Syllidae.
GUGCUAAGGUAGCAUAAUCAUUUGCCUCUUAAUUAGAGGCUAGUAUGAAUGAAUCAACAAGUAUUUGCUUUCUUUCUUUUAACCUUAUAAAUUAUCCUCUAGGUGAAGAGACCUAGAUUUAGUUAAAAGACAAGAAGACCCUAUCAAGCUUUAGUAAGCUAAUAUUUUAUAAUAUUAAUUUCUUUAGUUGGGGCGACAAGAAAUAAAACUUAUCAUUUCCUUAUAACUAGAUAUAUGUAUCUCACUAAUUAACUUAAAUAUAAAAAUAAGAAAGCUACUGCAGGGAUAACAGGCUAAUACUUUUUUAGAGCCCAUAUC